Molecule: transfer RNA, 69 nt
Filed under: Phaenacantha bicolor
Lineage: Eukaryota; Metazoa; Arthropoda; Insecta; Hemiptera; Colobathristidae
Also listed under: 1 other name
Description: tRNA-Ser
Source: RNAcentral
AAGAGAAUGUUGAAUCUAAAAGGAGCUGCUAACUAACUUUUAAAGUGGUUAAAUUCCAUUUUUCUCUUA